This 78-nucleotide transfer RNA is filed under the name Planctomycetales bacterium. RNAcentral's name for it is "tRNA-Pro". It matches the Rfam family "tRNA". From Rfam's summary of the family: Transfer RNA (tRNA) molecules are approximately 80 nucleotides in length. Their secondary structure includes four short double-helical elements and three loops (D, anti-codon, and T loops). The record is from RNAcentral. Lineage: Bacteria; Pseudomonadati; Planctomycetota; Planctomycetia; Planctomycetales.
CGGGGCGUAGCUCAGCCUGGCUAGUUUUUUUCCUGCUUUGGGAGCAGGAGGUCGCAUGUUCGAAUCAUGUCGCCCCGA